RNAcentral lists this long non-coding RNA (447 nucleotides) under Anser cygnoides (Swan goose). Its description in RNAcentral is "lncRNA (ENSACDG00005010667.1)". Lineage: Eukaryota; Metazoa; Chordata; Aves; Anseriformes; Anatidae. The record is from RNAcentral.
AUGCUUUACUGUUUAGAACAGAAGGGGAGCAGGCUAGCGCCACAGGGAUGUUUAGGCAGGACGCGAUGGGUGCGUGACUCCUUGCUCAGCUGCCCUCCUGGUGCAGCUUUCCUGAGAGGAAGACCUGCAUCCUGGCAGAGACACCAGCUGGCCAGACGUGGGCCAAGCCAAGCUGGGCACAAGAGCCAGUGUGGAGGGAAGGAGGGAGCCACCAAACAGAAGAGCAGAGCUCUUGCGUCUUGGAAGCUGCAGACCCAGCUGGCUCUGCCCAGGCAGAAAUGCUCUCAGGCAAGGAAAGGAGGCUGUCCCUGCUGCCAUGGAGGUUUUGAGCAAGUGGCUUCUGAGUUGCACACAUACAACCGAGGGUGCUCUUUACCCAGAUGCUCACUCCAAGACGUUUUGAACCUAGACUCAAAAUUAAAAUAUGCACAUUCCCAGGAAACAUGA